CAUCGCUACAAACACCAGCCAGCAAAUUCUUGCUCCGCACUCUUACAAAGAAGUAGCUUAUUAUUUUACAGCUAUAAAUACGGUAAAGACGGUUUUGAAGAUGCACACGUAGCAAUUUAAAAAUCAAAUAUGCUAAGCUUUGCGAUAUAUAGAAUCUAUCGAAAAAACCGUUUUAAGAUUUGAAACAUUAUGAAAAUUUAGUUUCCUGGGUUGUGAAACUUUCUGUUGUGUAAUUAUCAGCUACUGCUUCAUUGAAGUGUGCGGAACAUGGCUG
Long non-coding RNA from Zophobas morio, 274 nucleotides. RefSeq lists it as uncharacterized. The transcript is spliced from 4 exons. Lineage: Eukaryota; Metazoa; Arthropoda; Insecta; Coleoptera; Tenebrionidae. The record is from RefSeq and is a predicted model, not a curated record.